UAGAGUUUGAUCAUGGCUCAGGAUGAACGCUAGCGACAGGCCUAACACAUGCAAGUCGAGGGGCAUCGGGGCGAGGAGCAAUCCUUGCCGCCGGCGACCGGCGCACGGGUGAGUAACGCGUAUGCGACCUGCCCGUUGCAGGGGGAUAAUCGGGAGAAAUCCCGUCUAAUACCGCGUAAUGCCGCGGGGCUGCAUGGCCCUGCGGCCAAAGGGAGCGAUUCCGGCAACGGAUGGGCAUGCGUGACAUUAGCUAGUUGGCGGGGCAACGGCCCACCAAGGCGACGAUGUCUAGGGGUUCUGAGAGGAAGGUCCCCCACACUGGUACUGAGACACGGACCAGACUCCUACGGGAGGCAGCAGUGAGGAAUAUUGGUCAAUGGGCGCGAGCCUGAACCAGCCAAGUCGCGUGAGGGAUGACGGCCCUACGGGUUGUAAACCUCUUUUGUCGGGGAGCAAAUUCCGCCACGUGUGGCGGAGUCGAGAGUACCCGAAGAAAAAGCAUCGGCUAACUCCGUGCCAGCAGCCGCGGUAAUACGGAGGAUGCGAGCGUUAUCCGGAUUUAUUGGGUUUAAAGGGUGCGUAGGCGGACUGUCAAGUCAGCGGUAAAAUACGGGGGCUCAACCUCCGCCCGCCGUUGAAACUGACGGUCUUGAGUGGGCGAGAAGUAUGCGGAAUGCGUGGUGUAGCGGUGAAAUGCAUAGAUAUCACGCAGAACUCCGAUUGCGAAGGCAGCAUACCGGCGCCCAACUGACGCUGAAGCACGAAAGCGUGGGUAUCGAACAGGAUUAGAUACCCUGGUAGUCCACGCAGUAAACGAUGAAUACUAGCUGUCCGGGGCGAAUGAGCCCUGGGUGGCACAGCGAAAGCGUUAAGUAUUCCACCUGGGGAGUACGCCGGCAACGGUGGAACUCAAAGGAAUUGACGGGGGCCCGCACAAGCGGAGGAACAUGUGGUUUAAUUCGAUGAUACGCGAGGAACCUUACCCGGGCUCAAACGACACAGGAACGUACCUGAAAGGGUUCGGCUCUACGGAGCCUGUGUCGAGGUGCUGCAUGGUUGUCGUCAGCUCGUGCCGUGAGGUGUCGGCUUAAGUGCCAUAACGAGCGCAACCCCCAUCGACAGUUGCUAACAGGUCAGGCUGAGGACUCUGUCGAGACUGCCGGCGCAAGCUGCGAGGAAGGCGGGGAUGACGUCAAAUCAGCACGGCCCUUACGUCCGGGGCGACACACGUGUUACAAUGGCAGGUACAGCGGGAUGCCAUGGGGCGACCCAGAGCGGAACCCGAAAACCUGUCUCAGUUCGGAUUGGAGUCUGCAACCCGACUCCAUGAAGCUGGAUUCGCUAGUAAUCGCGCAUCAGCCACGGCGCGGUGAAUACGUUCCCGGGCCUUGUACACACCGCCCGUCAAGCCAUGGGAGCCGGGGGUGCCUGAAGGCCGUGACCGCGAGGAGCGGCCUAGGGUAAAACUGGUGACUGGGGCUAAGUCGUAACAAGGUAACCGUA
Molecule: ribosomal RNA, 1503 nt
Filed under: uncultured bacterium
Lineage: Bacteria
Description: 16S ribosomal RNA
Rfam family: Bacterial small subunit ribosomal RNA
Source: RNAcentral